Molecule: ribosomal RNA, 305 nt
Filed under: uncultured bacterium
Lineage: Bacteria
Description: partial 16S ribosomal RNA
Rfam family: Bacterial small subunit ribosomal RNA
Source: RNAcentral
ACAGCAGUAGCCGCGGGAAUACGGAGGGUGCAAGCGUUAAUCGGAAUUACUGGGCGUAAAGCGCACGCAGGCGGUCUGUCAAGUCGGAUGUGAAAUCCCCGGGCUCAACCUGGGAACUGCAUUCGAAACUGGCAGGCUAGAGUCUUGUAGAGGGGGGUAGAAUUCCAGGUGUAGCGGUGAAAUGCGUAGAGAUCUGGAGGAAUACCGGUGGCGAAGGCGGCCCCCUGGACAAAGACUGACGCUCAGGUGCGAAAGCGUGGGGAGCAAACAGGAUUAGAUACCCCAGUAGUCCCUGUCUCUUAUAC